Ictalurus punctatus (channel catfish) is the source of this 3385-nucleotide long non-coding RNA. NCBI's taxonomy places the organism in Eukaryota, Metazoa, Chordata, Actinopteri, Siluriformes, Ictaluridae. The record is from Ensembl.
CACACACACACAAAUGGGUUAAAAUACAGUGCAUUUAAGACAAACUUGGCCUUCAAUUGGAAAUUAUUCAAUAGACCCAUACAUAUGUUUUUUUUUUUUUUAUCAGUCAGUGCCAGUUCACACAUUUUUUUGUAACACAGUACAUUUGUCUGCUUUCUAGUUGACUAGUUGACUCAUGCAUUCACUAAGGAAAUGCAGACAGUAAGGAGACGAAGGCAGACACCAAAGAAAAGCAGCUAAAUAUACUUUGUUAGUUUGAAAAUAUUUCAGACUAGAUGAAACCAAUCCAAGCCUCAACUGCACGUUGUGUAAGAGUAUGCUUUGAUAAAGCUUUCUUUGCUUUAAUGUGACUUAACGUAACAUUUUCAUAUUACGUCGUAUGAAGUGCGAAAAUAAAUAAAUAAAUCCCACUCUCACCUGCUCCUGAAGGAAUUCCUCCCAUAGUUAUAUUUGUUGUCCUUUAAAGCUAAAUAAAAUUUGAAUAAAACCCUUGCACUAUGGCAUAGUGAAUUGUGUCAAGAGAGAGUGCAUUCAUUGCUACAGUUUUCUACAUUCGCACUCAGCUUGUUUAGAGCCUGGAAGACGAUCCAGACUCAUUUUCAGCCGCUAUUGAGGCAAGAUUUGAAAAAGCCUGAAACAAACAACAUCCAAGAAAGGAUGGAUAUUGAUUUAUAUGAAAGGACGAAGGACAUGUUGAUGGACAUGAGCUUCCAUGCUGCACGCUCUCAGUUCCAGAAUCAACAAUUCUGCCACCAGAUCGUCAUUUUAGGAAUUAGUACAUCCUUAAAUAGUGUAAUAUGAUAUACAGGUUAGGGGGCACGGUGGCUUAGUGGUUAGCACGUUUGCCUCACAUUUCCAGCGCUGGGGGCUCGAAUCCCACCUCCAUCCUGUAUGCUCAGAGCCUGCACGUUCUCCUCGUACUCCAGGGGUUUCCUCCAGGUACUCUGGCUUCCUUCCCCAGUCCAAAGACAUGCACUGUAGGCUGAUUGGCAUUUCCAAAUUGUAUGUAGUGUGUGCGAUUGUGCCCAGCGAUGAGUUGGCACUCUGUGCAGGGUAUCACCCCCUCUUGUGCUCCGAGCUCCCUGGGAUAGGCUCCAGGCUCCCACGCAACCUUGUGUGCGAUAAGCAGUAUGUAAAUUGGAUGGAUGGAUGGAUAUAAAGAUCUAUUAUUCGUUUGUACUUUCAUUGUUAAUGGUAACAAAAGCAUUGAGCUUGACUCUGUAUGGCUGUUAACUGAAAUGCCUAAUUGAAAUUUGAGACUUUUCUGCUGUUGUUGAUCAGAAUGUAGGUAAUAAAAUAAAAUGUCUUAAAUCCUGAGUCCUGAAGUUUUAGAUUUGACUAUGGAAAAGAUGACUAGUAAAAAAAAAAACAUUUAUUGAAUUACUCAGCGACUAGAAUGAAUAGUGAAUAGAGUUGCGACCCUUAGUGUCUAUGGUGGAAACGACUUUGUGCCUAGAUGAACCUUUUCUCUUCAGAUCUCCCAGUCUGGGUUCAGAGACACCACACAUGGCCAGCUUUUCAUCAAGCGCACCACACUUCGUCUGAGAGGAUUACAGAUGAGAGAUGUUAUUAUUCCUGUACUUGAACCAUCCCACCUGCCUUUCAAUCACUGCCUCUUGAAAUCUUUCCUUCUAUAUUGCUCAGGCAUUGCUUUGUUUAAAGAACAGACUCUUCAUUGAAAUAACUGAUUCCUAUUUCUGCUUUGUCAUUAGCACACAUGCUGAGAUGUGUGUUUCGGUGUCUUUUGUAUGGUUAUUUAUUGCUUUGUACCGUGGGAAGAAUUUUACAGAAAAGCAACAGUUUGCGGUUUUCUGUAAUUCUUUCGUCAUAGAGGAAUGUGUGAAGGGUACAGAAUAAAAUCAAGGCUUAAGGCUUUUCAGAUUUUCCUGAAGGUUAAUUGAAAUUAAUUUCUAUUCAGAGUGUACAGACGUAUAUAGAAAGUAUAAGAGGCAAAGCUAGGCAUAUGGUCAUACAUAUUUAAAUAUGCUUGAAGGAAUUAAAGUCCCAUCCGAUUAUUAAGUUGUUCAUUUUACAGCAUAUUAUUCAGUAAUCAAAAUGAAUUAUUCAGUAACUACAGUAAAACUAAUAAGAAAGGUUUGUCGUUAUGAGAGUCAGAACAGGCCCUGUGAGUUUAUGGGGAUGAUAGAUUUUUUUUUUUAGUUCAAAUAAAACUUUGUAAGCAUUUUCUGCAAUGGCUCAUUGUGCUUAUUCCCAACACACUGCUGCAGAAACGCUCUGAAGUAGUGAGUCGUUUCAUUUUUACGACAUGGGAUACAUAGCCGAUAAUUCGCUGUCAGUCUGGAACGCCGUCCUUUUUUAGAGAACCUGUCAGUUUCUGGCUAGAAGCCAUUUUGGAUUUGAUCCAUCUUUGUGAAGCUAUAAAUAACCAUCCAUAUUUGUGUACGAGUACUACUGAUAAUAAUCUGUGGGAGUUAGUGAGUGAUUGACCAUUUAGCUCUUGCAUAUUAGGUAUGCUGCAGUUGAUGGCAUAAGUCUAUAUGCCCUCAGGAUGAAAUGAAAAAGAUGAAUAAAUAUGGUGAAUAGAGUCAUUGUGUCUAUGUCAAUGCUUUUUUAAUAUUUAUUUUUUUGUUGUGGGCAGCAUUGAUUCAUUAGGCCAUAGAGCCGGUCCCAAGUUCAAACCUUAGCUUGGGUUACUGAAGUUUGGAGUUGGGGUUUCACAUCUUCUCCCUGUGUCUGAGUUUCCUCUGGUUUCCUCCCAUCUCCCAGGAACAUGACAGUAGGUGGACUGGCUACAAUACAUUGAACGAGUGUGUGAAUGUCAUGCUGUAACGGACUGCCAUCCUAUUCAGUGUGUACUCCCACCUUGCGCUCAGAGUUCAUGGGGUAGACUCUUUAUCCACCACAGCAUUGACCAGGAUAACGCAGUUACUAGGGGAAGACCAGACACUUGCGGAAAUCCAUACGUCAAUGUGCAAUCCCCUUGACCAAUCUGGCAUUGAAGUAUUUAGGCUGUUAAGAAGGAAAAAAAAAAAAAAAACCCAGCUGUGCUGUGACCCCAUUGCAUGCCACUCAGAUUAAACAAUUUUCUGGGCCACUGGACCUCAGAUCUGUAGCUCUGUCUGAGUCAGCCCAUCUUCAGAGGGUUAACCAGUGACUCCACUUCACUCACCGUGAUGUUGAAGUUGCUAACAAUGUGACCAAACUUAUUAUUAAUGACUGUCACGCCUGUCAGGGGCGGCGCAGGCUCAAAGUGCUAUUCAUCAUGGUCUUUCAGAACGUUAUUGUAUUUUCAGAGCUAUUGAACUGGGAAAGCUUAUUUGUUGAUUUUUUUUUUUAAAUCCAUUGUACAAUUUUAAUGUUUCAGUGUUUGAUUUCUGAUGAUAAUAAUAAUAUUAAUAAAGAUCCUCGGUUGCCUCAGGAGCAG